UACGUAGGGUGCAAGCGUUGUCCGGAAUUAUUGGGCGUAAAGAGCGUGUAGGCGGCCCGAUUAGUCCGCUGUGAAAGUCCAGGGCUCAACCCUGGAAUGCCGGUGGAUACUGUCGGGCUAGAGUCCGGAAGGGGCGAGUGGAAUUCCUGGUGUAGCGGUGAAAUGCGCAGAUAUCAGGAGGAACACCGAUGGCGAAGGCAGGUCUCUGGCAUUAACUGACGCUGAGGAGCGAAAGCAUGGGGAGCGAACAGG
This 252-nucleotide ribosomal RNA is filed under the name uncultured bacterium. Its description in RNAcentral is "partial 16S ribosomal RNA". It matches the Rfam family "Bacterial small subunit ribosomal RNA", at positions 524 to 776 of the family's 1533-position model. The record is from RNAcentral.